UGCGUAGGUGGUUUGAUAAGUUGGGUGUGAAAGUCCUGAGCUUAACUUGGGGAUUGCGCUUAAUACUGUUGAGCUAGAGUACUGUAGAGGAAGGUGGAAUUUCCAGUGUAGCGGUGAAAUGCGUAGAUAUUGGAAGGAACAUCAGUGGCGAAGGCGACUUUCUGGACAGAUACUGACACUGAGGCACGAAAGCAUGGGGAGGCAAACA
Molecule: ribosomal RNA, 208 nt
Filed under: uncultured bacterium
Lineage: Bacteria
Description: partial 16S ribosomal RNA
Rfam family: Bacterial small subunit ribosomal RNA
Source: RNAcentral